Molecule: ribosomal RNA, 769 nt
Filed under: Natrinema pallidum
Lineage: Archaea; Methanobacteriati; Methanobacteriota; Halobacteria; Halobacteriales; Natrialbaceae
Description: bacterial SSU rRNA
Rfam family: Archaeal small subunit ribosomal RNA
Source: RNAcentral
CUAGUUGCACGAGUUAAGACUCGUAGCAGAUAGCUCAGUAACACGUGGCCAAACUACCCUAUGGAUCCGAAUAACCUCGGGAAACUGAGGCUAAUUGGGAAUAGCGUUCAUCGCCUGGAGUGGCACGAACGCGAAACGUUACGGCGCCAUAGGAUGUGGCUGCGGCCGAUUAGGUAGACGGUGGGGUAACGGCCCACCGUGCCCAUAAUCGGUACGGGUUGUGAGAGCAAGAGCCCGGAGACGGUAUCUGAGACAAGAUACCGGGCCCUACGGGGCGCAGCAGGCGCGAAACCUUUACACUGCACGCGAGUGCGAUAAGGGGACUCCGAGUGCGAGGGCAUAUAGGCCUCGCUUUUCACGACCGUAAGGUGGUCGUAGAAUAAGUGCUGGGCAAGACCGGUGCCAGCCGCCGCGGUAAUACCGGCAGCACGAGUGAUGACCGCUAUUAUUGGGCCUAAAGCGUCCGUAGCUGGCCACGCAAGUCUAUCGGGAAAUCCGCGCGCUUAACGCGCGGGCGUCCGGUGGAAACUGCGUGGCUUGGGACCGGAAGACCAGAGGGGUACGUCCGGGGUAGGAGUGAAAUCCCGUAAUCCUGGACGGACCACCGGUGGCGAAAGCGCCUCUGGAAGACGGAUCCGACGGUGAGGGACGAAAGCUCGGGUCACGAACCGGAUUAGAUACCCGGGUAGUCCGAGCUGUAAACGAUGUCUGCUAGGUGUGGCACAGGCUACGAGCCUGUGCUGUGCCGUAGGGAAGCCGUGAAGCAGAC